RNAcentral lists this non-coding RNA (29 nucleotides) under Rattus norvegicus (Norway rat). Lineage: Eukaryota; Metazoa; Chordata; Mammalia; Rodentia; Muridae. The record is from RNAcentral.
UUAAAAUCAAACCUAAAGGCCAUUGAACA